CAAACCACAUGGUAAGCAAUUCAGGCCCCUUGAUACUGAUAAAAUUUGCUUGACAUUCAUUGGCAAUAGCCUUAGCCAACAAAGUUUUCCCACAUCCAGGUGGCCCAUAGAAAAGAACUCCCUUCGAGGGCGACAUACCGAACUUUUCAAAUUUCUCAGGAUGCUCCACAGGAUACUGAACAGUCUGAAAGACAAAAUACAUAUAGGUAAACAAGUUUAUUCAUAAAAGAAAAACAGAUAGUACUGUUAACAGAAAUUAAUAUAUGGCAGAAUUCUGAAAGUCAAAUCACCUCUUGAAGCUCCCUCUUAACAUUCUCCAGGCCUCCAAUAUCUUCCCAACUAACAUUGGGCACUUCAACAACCUGGCCCAACAGAAAACUCAUGAUCAGCGACAACUAAACAUUUAAGAGAGAGAGAGAGAGAAGAAAAUAACAACAUACGGUUUCUCGGAGAGCAGAGGGAUUGCUAGUCCCAAGAGCAGUAUGGAAGUGCUCGUUAGUAACAGCCAUAGAGUUGAGUAUCUCUGCAUCAAUGGAAUCAUCUUCCAAAUCAAUCACGUCCAUCUUCUCCCUGAUGCAUUGAAGUGCAGCCUCAGUACACAGAGCCGCUAAAUCUGCACCUACAUAUCCAUGUGUGUCCUUGGAAAUUCUUUCCAAAUCAACCUGCAUAGCCAAAAGCAAUAUUAAUGUACCAAAAUCUUGAAAAAUUAUACACAUACUCGACUAAAUAAUAAGCAAAUUAGGGGAUUGAACUUACAUCUUCAGCAAGUUUCAUGUUCUUUGUAUGGAUACGGAGAACCUCAAGUCGCCCAAUUUCAUCAGGAACGCCAAUAUCUAUCUCUCUAUCAAAUCUUCCAAACCUCCUCAAAGCAGGGUCAAUGCUAUUGGGACGAUUUGUAGCACCCAUAACAAUGACAUGGGCACGGGAUUUAAGUCCAUCCAUAAGUGUCAACAGCUGGGAAACAAUCCUUCUCUCGACCUCUCCGUGGGUCUUCUCUCGCUUGGGAGCAAUUGAAUCAAUCUCAUCAAUAAAGAUAAUGGAUGGAGCAUUCUUUUCUGCUUCCUCAAAUGCUUUCCUGAGAUUGCUUUCACUCUCCCCAGCCAACUUUGACAUAAUUUCCGGUCCAUUUAUACAAAAGAAAAAAGCACCAGUUUCAUUUGCAACAGCUCGGGCUAUUAAAGUUUUUCCGGAUCCAGGUGGUCCAUAGAGCAAAAUUCCUUUUGGUGGCUUUACUCCUAUAGACUUGAAGAGUUGUGGAUGUCUCAACGGUAACUCGACCAACUCCCUAAUCUGUGC
This 1296-nucleotide long non-coding RNA is filed under the name Panax ginseng (ginseng). RNAcentral's name for it is "long non-coding RNA (PGIN_LNC010466)". The record is from RNAcentral. Lineage: Eukaryota; Viridiplantae; Streptophyta; Magnoliopsida; Apiales; Araliaceae.